GUUUCAGGUGUGUCCUUCACCAAAUGUGAAGUUAAUGUCUUUAUUAUUUUGAAGUUAGUCUUUCAUACUGUAUAUGAAUGUGUUAUGACUGUCGCAGCAUUUGACCAGUGUUCCAGUGAUACUAAUGAAAGCCAUUAUGUGGGUGUAUUGUACUUCUUGACACACUAGUGUUGAGUUGUUUACAAUCAAAGGCUUUCUUGAUUUGGAAAUGAGAACUACUUUGGUAGCCUAAACAGCAUAGUGAACUCAUGAGUCAUGAAAUGCAUAUAUCAAAUUCCUGGCCAGCGUCAUUAUUUAAUUCUAGCAGCUAAUGAAUUCUGAAACGAUCAUACUUUUCUUGAAGUUGGGCUGACAACUAUGGCCUGAGUUCCUCUAGUUGGCCAUAUGGAUCCGUCUUUUCUAGUGCUUCUUCCUAUAUUCUGAACAAAUAUUACUACCCAUUGCGUGUUCCAACCAAAAAGUGCUAUAAAGUUAGAAAGAUGUAAUGGAGUCUUCUAAUUAAGUGGAUCAGACAUCAGAGGAGAAACAAAGUUUAGAGGAACAUAGACUGUUUUGUUGAAUGGUACUUUG
Molecule: unclassified non-coding RNA, 570 nt
Filed under: Hevea brasiliensis (rubber tree)
Lineage: Eukaryota; Viridiplantae; Streptophyta; Magnoliopsida; Malpighiales; Euphorbiaceae
Source: RNAcentral